This 2814-nucleotide ribosomal RNA is filed under the name metagenomes. RNAcentral's name for it is "bacterial LSU rRNA". The stretch from base 478 to 2814 matches the Rfam family "Bacterial large subunit ribosomal RNA". The record is from RNAcentral.
AACCGAACGCCUACAAGCAGUCGGAGCUUGACUGGACUCCAAUGACAAGUAGAAGAAUCUGUGGUUAUGUGCCGCCAAAGCAACGGCGGGACGUAUCAUGGACGGCACAUUAGCGGCACUCACGCUCAUUUUUGGGUUGUGGGACAUGGCAGGCAAUCACUGUACAACCGGGUGCGUGGCGGCAAGCGGCGCGCAAGGUUAUAUAGCGGUAUCCGCCGGUUCGGUCUUUUUGAAUGAGGACCGGAUCGGGACGGAAAUCUAUGUAAGACGCGACACACGGCGGCAGUUUGGUCCGUUUCAGGCAACCUAUGGGGUGUCUGUGACCGACGACGGCUCUGUGUGGUUCGGGGCGGGACCAAGUUAUUCGCUCCCGUUUAAAUCAGACGCUAUAUUCGUUCAAUUGCAUACCAUGGCGGGUUUGUACCUCGCCGGGGACGGCGCCGAUCUUGGCGGCCCGAUCGAGUUUCGGUCGGGUGUCGAGGUUGGUUUUGUUGCGCAAAGCGGAAUGCGGUUUGGUCUUACUUAUGAUCACAGAUCCAAUGCCGAUCUAUACGCAGAUAACCCGGGGCUGGAGACGAUCCAGCUACGUGUGUCCGUGCCGUUCUAGUGUUUGUUAUUGGUGUCCAGUCUUGUGACGGCGUACCUUUUGUAUAAUGGGUCAACGACUUAGUCUCACAAGCAAGCUUAAGCCGAUAGGUGUAGGCGCAGCGAAAGCGAGUCUUAAAAGGGCGGAUGAGUUUGUGGGAUUAGACCCGAAACCAGGUGAUCUAGCCAUGAGCAGGAUGAAGGUUGGGUAACACCAACUGGAGGUCCGAACCAACACCCGUUGAAAAGGGUCUGGAUGACUUGUGGCUAGGGGUGAAAGGCUAAUCAAACCUGGAGAUAGCUGGUUCUCCGCGAAAGCUAUUUAGGUAGCGCCUCGGACGAAUACCUCGGGGGGUAGAGCACUGCAUGGAUGAUGGGGGCCCACAGCCUUACUGAGUCUAAGCAAACUCCGAAUACCCGAGAGUACUAUCCGGGAGACACACGGCGGGUGCUAACGUCCGUCGUGAAGAGGGAAACAACCCUGACCUGCAGCUAAGGCCCCUAAUUCAUGGCUAAGUGGGAAAGCAUGUGGGACGGCCAAAACAACCAGGAUGUUGGCUUAGAAGCAGCCAUCAUUUAAAGAUAGCGUAACAGCUCACUGGUCUAGAUAAGCUGUCCUGCGGCGAAGAUGUAACGGGGCUCAAGCCAUGAGCCGAAGCUCGGGAUGCACAGCGAUGUGCGUGGUAGCGGAGCGUUCUGUGAUAUAGUUCAUCAUGUCUUAUCCAUCUUCGACCAGUAAUGGCCGGGGUCGGGGACGGACAUGGAGAGCUUUCUGUGAAGCCGGGCUGUAAGGCAUCCGGUGGAGAGAUCAGAAGCGAGAAUGUUGACAUGAGUAGCGACAAAGAGGGUGAGAAACCCUCUCGCCGAAAGUCCAAGGGUUCCUGCUUAAAGCUAAUCUGAGCAGGGUAAGCCGGCCCCUAAGGCGAGGCCGAAAGGCGUAGUCGAUGGGAACCAGGUUAAUAUUCCUGGGCCAGUGGGAUGUGACGGAUCUCGACGGUUGUUUGCCCUUAUCGGAUUGGGUGGGCUGCUUAGAGGUUCCUGGAAAUAGCCCCACAUCAGACCGUACCCUAAACCGACACAGGUGGACUGGUAGAGUAUACCAAGGCGCUUGAGAGAACCACGUUAAAGGAACUCGGCAAAAUGCCUCCGUAAGUUCGCGAGAAGGAGGCCCCAUCUGUACGCAAGUGCGGGUGGGGGGCACAAACUAGGGGGUGGCGACUGUUUACUUAAAACACAGGGCUGUGCGAAGCCGCAAGGCGACGUAUACAGUCUGACGCCUGCCCGGUGCUGGAAGAUUAAGAGGAGGGGUGCAAGCUCUGAAUUGAAGUCCCAGUAAACGGCGGCCGUAACUAUAACGGUCCUAAGGUAGCGAAAUUCCUUGUCGGGUAAGUUCCGACCUGCACGAAUGGCGUAACGAUCUCCCCGCUGUCUCUAACGUGGACUCAGCGAAAUUGAACUGUGUGUCAAGAUGCACACUACCCGCGGUUAGACGGAAAGACCCCAUGCACCUUUACUCUAGCUUUGCACUGGCAUCAGGAUUGUGAUGUGCAGGAUAGGUGGUAGGCAUUGAAGCGGGGACGCCAGUCUUCGUGGAGCCACCCUUGAGAUACCACCCUUCGCACUCUUGAUGUCUAACCGCGGUCCGUCAUCCGGAUCCGGGACCCUGCAUGGUGGGGAGUUUGACUGGGGCGGUCGCCUCCCAAACAGUAACGGAGGCGCGCGAUGGUAGGCUCAGACCGGUCGGAAAUCGGUCGUUGAGUGCAAUGGCAGAAGCCUGCCUGACUGCAAGACUGACAAGUCGAGCAGAGACGAAAGUCGGUCAUAGUGAUCCGGUGGUCCCAAGUGGGAGGGCCAUCGCUCAACGGAUAAAAGGUACGCUGGGGAUAACAGGCUGAUGAUGCCCAAGAGUCCAUAUCGACGGCAUCGUUUGGCACCUCGAUGUCGGCUCAUCUCAUCCUGGGGCUGGAGCAGGUCCCAAGGGUAUGGCUGUUCGCCAUUUAAAGAGGUACGUGAGCUGGGUUUAGAACGUCGUGAGACAGUUCGGUCCCUAUCUGCCGUGGGUGCAGGAGACUUGAGAAGAGUUGACCCUAGUACGAGAGGACCGGGUUGAACGAACCACUGGUGGACCAGUUAUCGUGCCAACGGUAGUGCUGGGUAGCUAUGUUCGGACAGGAUAACCGCUGAAGGCAUCUAAGCGGGAAGCCCCCUUCAAAACAAGGUCUCCCUUGA